This is a long non-coding RNA of Myiozetetes cayanensis, 963 nucleotides long. RefSeq lists it as uncharacterized. NCBI's taxonomy places the organism in Eukaryota, Metazoa, Chordata, Aves, Passeriformes, Tyrannidae. The record is from RefSeq and is a predicted model, not a curated record. The transcript is spliced from 3 exons.
GGCGACGGGACAAUGGCCCCGGGGGCCCGGGGGGCGGAGGGCCCGGCGGCGGAGCCCCCCCGCCGCGGCCGCCCCGGCGGGAGCCUUAAAGGGGAAACGCUCCCGCGGCCUCACCAGCCAGGACCCCUCCCCGCGGUCGGCAUCCCUCCGCUGCGGUGGUCCCAGGGGGCUGGAUCCCUCCCCCCAUGGCACCCUUUCACUAGGGUGGUCGCACAGGGCAGGACCCUGACUGAUGGUCAUCAUUGUCCUCACCAGGGCUGGACCACACCGGGAUUGUUUUCCGCCCAGUGAUCAGCAUUCCCCCACUGCUGUGGUCCCCCUAGGGCUGGACCCCACCAUGCCCCGUGCCAACAUUCCGGGGAUCCUUCCAGAGCAGGCGGACAUGGUCGGGUGUGUUGCCCGUGUGCCACAGCGCGUUGCGAAGCUCGGUCAGGACCCGGUUGAAGAGGGUCAGCUGUGUGACCAGUGCCUUGGUCUGCUCACCUGCCAGCAGCAGAAAGGACAAGGUCAAUCCCAGGACAGACACAGCCCCCAGGGACUGCUCUGCCCACCAGCACUGAUCUGGGAGGACGAGGCAACUGACAGACUGCUCUUCUCCUCCCUGGUUCACACAGGAUCCCUUUCCUCAUAACACAACCCAUGCCUUUUGAUGUACCCCAUGUGGGGCACUGGGACAGCCUGUGGAAGGGUUUCUGCCUCUGUGGAGCCCCAAAUGCCUCAAGCCAGGGAAUGGGGGAAGCAGAGCAGGGACUCACCCAGGAUGGAGGCCAGCACGCUCGUCACUGCAAGGAGAGAGAUGAGAAGUUACCAAAUGCUGCCGUCACAACCAAGCAGCAUCACCUCACACAGCCACUCCUGGUCAGCACGUGAGCAGCACUGGAGCUCCCACCUGUGUAGGGACCCUGGGCCAGGAGAGGCAGGAGCACAGGUAACCCUUUAAGCCCCCAAGCCAUUACCUGCACU